This 264-nucleotide long non-coding RNA is filed under the name Olea europaea (common olive). RNAcentral's name for it is "long non-coding RNA (OEUR_LNC007312)". The record is from RNAcentral. Lineage: Eukaryota; Viridiplantae; Streptophyta; Magnoliopsida; Lamiales; Oleaceae.
UACUGUCGAUAGACGUCUUCUUCGGAGGCAGAGAUGGUUCCAAGGUUCUGAAUCGACGACAAGGGACAGCAAAGAUAGGAUGUAGGAGGUCGAUUUCACAGCAGUGAUUUGUCGAUCAUGCUGCCGAAGUUUGUCCUUGCAGUGGCAAUUUUAGGGCUCCAAAUGAGAAUUCUGAGUUCGUCCCUUUUUUCCUUGUCUUUUUUUUUGUUUCACUUUUAUUCUGCAAUUGCCACGUCAUUUUGCAGGACUUCUGUGAGGUUGCUG